This 301-nucleotide ribosomal RNA is filed under the name uncultured bacterium. RNAcentral's name for it is "partial 16S ribosomal RNA". It matches the Rfam family "Bacterial small subunit ribosomal RNA", at positions 509 to 807 of the family's 1533-position model. The record is from RNAcentral.
CAGUAGCCACGGUAAUACAGAGGGUGCAAGCGUUAAUCGGAAUUACUGGGCGUAAAGCGCGCGUAGGUGGUUUGUUAAGUUGGAUGUGAAAGCCCCGGGCUCAACCUGGGAACUGCAUCCAAAACUGGCAAGCUAGAGUACGGUAGAGGGUGGUGGAAUUUCCUGUGUAGCGGUGAAAUGCGUAGAUAUAGGAAGGAACACCAGUGGCGAAGGCGACCACCUGGCCUAAUACUGACGCUGAGGUACGAAAGCAUGGGGAGCAAACAGGAUUAGAUACCCCCGUAGUCCCUGUCUCUUAUAC